This 190-nucleotide long non-coding RNA is filed under the name Phascolarctos cinereus (koala). RNAcentral's name for it is "lncRNA (ENSPCIG00000013223.2)". The record is from RNAcentral. Lineage: Eukaryota; Metazoa; Chordata; Mammalia; Diprotodontia; Phascolarctidae.
CCUGCUGUGGGAGAGAAGAACCCAGGCUGGUGCGGGAGCCGGUGGCACCAGAGCUGCUACGGGAGGAACAGGGAAACUACGGACAAGUCGGCAUUUUGGAGCUAAUUGACUCCUAAAAUUCUCUUCAGGUAACCGGGGCAUCUUAGGUCCAUGAGCGCAGACCUGAGGGGUGGGCGCUUGGGUCAAGGGA